Molecule: long non-coding RNA, 873 nt
Organism: Scylla paramamosain (green mud crab)
Lineage: Eukaryota; Metazoa; Arthropoda; Malacostraca; Decapoda; Portunidae
Exons: 6
Source: RefSeq, a predicted model, not a curated record
GGCCAGUGGUGACGUGGCCAGGGUUGUGUCGACACCAGUGUGGUGUUGGCUGUGUGGGGUGCACCUGGGUCCUGUGUUGGCCUUUGAAGGUGGACUUGGAACCUCAGGGGAAACUACAUGUAGUAAUUGAGUUAAAAUGGGUGGAACCAGGAGAUGGGGGUGCCCCCGGAAGUUCAGGGAGUGCAAACGCUUCAACUGAUGCUGAGGCAGAGGAUCACCAGGUCAAUGGUCACAAGUUCAUGGCAACCUUCCUUUGACAACCUACUUUCUGCUCCCACUGCAGAGAAUUUAUUUGGAGUAUCGGAAAACAAGGUUAUCAGUACCAAGUUUGUACCUGCAUCAUCCACAAGUGCCAUCACCGGUCCGUUGUUGCACAUUGUCCAGGAAACAAGAAUGCAGAGGCUAGAGUAACACAAGAACAAGCAGUGGUAACACAGAGAGCAAGUGGAAGAGACCUUGGGAGACUUCCAUGACUCAGGAACAAGAAGCACACCUUACUGGGAGCCUUGUGACUGACUAUUGGUGGUGACUGCAGGAACGAACAUUCAGGAGCAAGAAGUACACCUUACUGGAACCUUGUGACUGACUGGUGGUGGUGACUGCUGGAACCAACAUUCAGACGUCUGUCUUCUGCAGUGAACUUCCUGUCUGCAGUCAGGCUGAUAGUGCUAUGGCGCAGGGUCUGACAUCAGGAAGAGCCAAAUGGAGGGUGUCUACAGCUAGUACUGGGUGUCCUGCUUCUAUACAAGUCACAGAAGCCAGGUGCCACAGCACAUUGUGUCAGCUGACUCCACCAAUGUAUUAUUGUCUAGUCCAGGAUGCAUUGCUGUACAACUUGUAGGUCUUUGGCAAUAAAUAAAAUUAUUUUGACUC